CUACGGGCCGCUCCAGUGGGGAAUAUUGGACAAUGGGGGAAACCCUGAUCCAGCAAUGCCGCGUGUGUGAAGAAGGCCUGCGGGUUGUAAAGCACUUUCGGUUGGGAGGACUGCUUCUAGCACUAAUAUUGUUGGAAGUUGACGUUACCUUCAGAAGAAGCACCGGCUAACUCCGUGCCAGCAGCCGCGGUGAAUACGGAGGGUGCAAGCGUUAAUCGGAAUUACUGGGCGUAAAGCGCGCGUAGGCGGCUAGAUCAGUCGGGUGUGAAAGCCCCGGGCUUAACCUGGGAACUGCAUCCGAUACUGUCUAGCUUGAGUACAGGAGAGGAGAGUGGAAUUCCGCAUGUAGCGGUGAAAUGCGUAGAUAUGUGGAGGAACACCAAUGGCGAAGGCAGCUCUCUGGCCUGAUACUGACGCUGAGGUGCGAAAGCGUGGGGAGCAAACAGGAUUAGAUACCCCUGUAGUC
Molecule: ribosomal RNA, 466 nt
Filed under: uncultured bacterium
Lineage: Bacteria
Description: partial 16S ribosomal RNA
Rfam family: Bacterial small subunit ribosomal RNA
Source: RNAcentral